GACGAACGCUGGCGGCGUGCUUAACACAUGCAAGUCGAACGGAAAGGCCCUGCUUUUGUGGGGUGCUCGAGUGGCGAACGGGUGAGUAACACGUGAGUAACCUGCACUUGACUUAGGGAUAACUUCAGGCAACUGGGGCUAAUAACGGAUCGGCGCAUCUGUUGCAAGGCGGGGGUCGGAAAGUUUCGGCGGUUGGGGAUGGACUCGCGGCUUAUCGGCUUGUUUGUGGGGUAGUGGCUUACCAAGGCUUUGCCGGGUGGCCGGCCUGCGAGGGUGACCGGCCACAUUGGGACUGAGAUACGGCCCAGACUCCUACGGGGGGCAGCAGGGGGGAAUAAUGCGCAAUGGGCGGAAGCCUGAUGCAGCAACGCCGCGUGCGGGAUGAGGGCCUUCUGGUUAUAAACCGCUUUCGCCUGUGACGAAGCGUGAGUGACGGUAAUGGGUAAAGAAGCACCGGCUAACUACGUG
This 468-nucleotide ribosomal RNA is filed under the name uncultured bacterium. Its description in RNAcentral is "partial 16S ribosomal RNA". It matches the Rfam family "Bacterial small subunit ribosomal RNA", at positions 28 to 507 of the family's 1533-position model. The record is from RNAcentral.